RNAcentral lists this unclassified non-coding RNA (377 nucleotides) under plant metagenome. RNAcentral's name for it is "partial contains 5.8S ribosomal RNA, internal transcribed spacer 2, and large subunit ribosomal RNA". The stretch from base 1 to 104 matches the Rfam family "5.8S ribosomal RNA", at positions 51 to 154 of the family's 154-position model. The record is from RNAcentral.
AAAUGCGAUAAGUAAUGUGCAUUGCAGAAUUCAGUGAAUCAUCGAAUCUUUGAACGCACGUUGCGCUCCUUGGUAUUCCUUGGAGCAUGCCUGUUUGAGUAUCAUGAAAUCUUCAAAGUAAAUCUUUUGUUAACUCAAUUGGUUUCUACUUUGGUAUUGGAGGUCUUUGCAGCUUCACACCUGCUCCUCUUUGUUCAUUAGCUGGAUCUCAGUGUUAUGCUUGGUUCCACUCGGCGUGAUAAGUUAUCUAUCGCUGAGGACACUGUAAAAGGUGGCCAAGGUAAAUGCAGAUGAACCGCUUCUAAUAGUCCAUUGACUUGGACAAUACUUUUAUGAUCUGAUCUCAAAUCAGGUAGGACUACCCGCUGAACUUAAGC